This 687-nucleotide long non-coding RNA is filed under the name Panax ginseng (ginseng). RNAcentral's name for it is "long non-coding RNA (PGIN_LNC008347)". Lineage: Eukaryota; Viridiplantae; Streptophyta; Magnoliopsida; Apiales; Araliaceae. The record is from RNAcentral.
CCCCAAAUUUAAACCGUUGCUUGUCCUCAAGCAACAACAAUGCUAAUGCAAUCUACAUACUAUGCAAGCUACGCUACGCUACUAUGACAAUGAAUCCCCAGAUUUCUAGCCAUGUUAAGAAUUCCAAUAAGUCAUGCCUCAGAGAAAUAUCAAGAUCCAAGAACAAAGCAUCAAACUAAGCUAAAGGCAUAAUGACAUACAAUCAUAUAAUCCUAACUUGCUAUAAAGAUGCUGUGUGUGUGUGUGAUGUGUUCACAGAUAAGCUUGACAAAGGUGAAAAUACCACAUGCUUUAUUGCUUAAGGCAGAAAAUUGAAGGUUAACUCAAUAAGUGCAUAUACUAAUGAGACAUCAACUACUCCAACACAUCAAUACACACUAAGGUUCAACAGUGGGUUUAUUCUGCUCUAUUUUUACUCACGAGGGCGAUUCUCGCACUUUCCCGCGGUGUUUAUUGUUUUUUUUAUAGCGAGUGCGUUUUACGCUCCAUCUCACUUUCCAUUUCCAUUUAAACGAGUGCGUUUUACGCUCCAUCUCGCUUUCUAUUUCCAUUUAAACGAGUGCAUUUUACGCUCCAUCUCGUCCCAAUAGCAAGCAUACCCAUGUGUUCUCAAAGUUUGAGUAUCUGUGUUUUCAUAGUCUAUGUCUCACUUCCUACACAAUUCUAUCAUUAAAAACAACAUUUUCC